AUCAAGCCCCAUUUCUCUUUGUCUUCUGACACACGUGUGGAGUUCGCAUGUCACACCGCCGGCGACCAUGCCUACGUCAGCGUCGACUCACCGGCCGGAGGACCUGCUUACGCGGCUGCGCUCCGCCAACGCCGAAGCCGACGCCAAACUCAAAGCCCUAAGGGAGGUCAAGAACCAGAUCAUCGGUAACCGCACCAAGAAGCUCUCAUACAUCAAGCUUGGCGCCGUCCCUGCCGUUGUCUCCGUUCUCGCCGCUACCGCCGACGACUGCUCCUCCGUCCUCGUCCAGUCCGCCGCUGCCAUCGGCAGCUUCGCCUGCGGCUUUGAAGCUGGCGUUCAGGCGGUGCUCCGCGCCGGCGCUUUUCCUCAUUUGUUGCGCCUUCUCUCCAAUUCUAAUGGAAAGGUUGUGGAUGCUGGUGCUCGUUCCCUUAGAAUGAUUUAUCAAUCAAAACUGGCUCCAAAGUAUGAUUUUCUUCAAGAGAAAAACAUGGAAUUUCUUCUUUCAUUGUUAAAUAGUGAAAACGAAAAUGUUACUGGACUUGGUGCAAGUAUCAUUACACAUUCUUGUGAGACAAGUGCAGAGCAGAACGCAUUGUGUGAUGCUGGGGUCUUAAAGAAACUUAUUGGUCUUCUUCAAGGUUCUCUAAGUCAGAGAGAUGCUAGUUUAGAGUCUAUUGCCACAGUUAUCAGGAGCAAUCCUGAAGUUGUUUCAAAGUUUGUGGGACCUGAAAAUGGAAGAGCCUUAAGUGCCGUAACUGAGUUAACAAAGGAUAGGUACCCCCGGACAAGGUUACUUGCCUGCAUGUGCUUGAUUGUUGUAAGGAACACUUCUCCUGGCUUACAGGAUCUAGCAAUUCGAACCAAAUUGAUUCUAAUACUACUUGAGCUUCUUGAUGAUCCUGGUCAAGUUGGAGAUGAAGCUUCUUUUGCUUUGUCUAGUCUAAUUGCAGAAAAGGAGGAUUUACAGAAACUAGCAUUCGAGGAAAAUGCUAUUGAUAAACUUUGCAACCACUUGCAGAAAGGUUCUUUACAGGCUAAACGCUUCCAAGGAAUAUUGCUGGCAUUGGCUGAUCUAUGCUCAAAGUUGGAAAACUGCAGGUCCAGGUUCCUAGCAUUGCAGGUCAUGAACUCGGUAAUUGAUGCAUUAACUCAUGAUAGUGGUGAAGUACGUGCUGCGGCUUGCAUUUGCUUAAGAAGUGUCUCUCGGUCGGUCAAGAACCUGAGUGCAGGUAACUUUAUGAAUGAAACAGUUGUGAUUCCCUUGGUUCAGCUUUUAUCCGACACUUCUACUUCUGUUCAGGUUGCAGCUCUUGGUGCUAUUAGCAACAUAGUAGUUGAUUUUACAACACAUAAGUCAAUUUUUAUGCAAUGUGGAGGUGUUAAGCAGCUUGUUCAGUUAUCAAAAUCAAUGGAUCCAACAAUCAGAUUAAAUUCCGUAUGGGGUUUGAGGAACUUGAUGUUCCUUGCGGAUAACAGGUGCAAAGAAGGGAUCUUUUUGGAGCUCACUGCAUCCUUGUUAGCAAGCCUUAUUUGUGAUCCCGAGCCAUCUGUCCAAGAGCAAGCCCUUGGUCUUGUCCGCAAUCUUGUUGAUGGCUGUAUCAACUCUGUUGAGUAUGUAUUUGUUGAAGAUAGUAUUAUAUUACAAGCUGUUGGAAAGCAAUUGCAAAGCACUUUGAAAGCUGAAGUUGGGAUUCAGGGAAUGUAUGUGCUCAGCAAUGUGGCAACUGGAAAUGAGUUCCAUAAGGAAGCAGUAAUGCAUCAACUUUUUCCACAAGCAGGCAACAGCACCCAACCUAUUAUUAUCAAAUUUUUGCAGAGUAAUGACAGCAGGCUACGCACGGCAGCAGUCUGGACAGUCUUAAAUCUCACUUUUCCACGCAGUCUCGGUGCCUAUGGUCGGUUUGUAAAACUAUGCAGUGCUGGCGUAUUAUCUCAAAUAAAGAAUAUGGCCAAUGAUCCCUGCCUGGAUGUAAAGCUUCGUGUUAGAACAGUGCUUGGGCAGUCUCUGACUUUUGGUGAUGGAUCUACUUGAUGCUGUUUUAUCUUUCAUUGAUCCUGAGAGCUGAGGAAAGAAUUUUGAUGCUAUCUGGUGCUUGGGCUCCACCCUGUUUUGUAAGAUAUCAUACACCCUUUUUUGCGGAGGCCUGCUACGACAUGGUGUAACCCAUUGAUUUCAGUUUUUCCAUCCAGAGCAGUGGUGUGGCUUGCCAGGCAAAUGGGUACUGAUGAUCAGUUUCAAAAGUCCCGAACCAUGAUGCAGCCCACAUUCUUGUUUCUUGUUUUCUGAUAAUGUAACACUGUACCUACUGCCUUUCAGCAUUUAUCAGAUUAUUAAAGCUGUAUCUUCGGGCUACCCUCGCAAAAAAACUGUUGUAUGGAGCAGAUGUUCCUCUCUUUUUAAAUUUAAAGGCUUUAGGUAUGCUUUGAAAUUUGCUCA
Vitis riparia (riverbank grape) is the source of this 2437-nucleotide RNA transcript. It is a transcript of the gene named armadillo repeat-containing protein 8, with no coding region annotated. The record is from RefSeq and is a predicted model, not a curated record. The transcript is spliced from 9 exons. NCBI's taxonomy places the organism in Eukaryota, Viridiplantae, Streptophyta, Magnoliopsida, Vitales, Vitaceae.